RNAcentral lists this unclassified non-coding RNA (333 nucleotides) under soil metagenome. RNAcentral describes it as "partial contains 5.8S ribosomal RNA, internal transcribed spacer 2, and large subunit ribosomal RNA". The stretch from base 1 to 120 matches the Rfam family "5.8S ribosomal RNA", at positions 35 to 154 of the family's 154-position model. The record is from RNAcentral.
GAUGAAGAACGCAGCGAAAAGCGAUAAGUAGUGUGAAUUACAGAAUUCAGUGAAUCAUCGAAUCUUUGAACGCACAUUGCGCCCCUCGGUAUUCCGUGGGGCAUGCCUGUUCGAGCGUCAUUUACCCCUCAAGCACUGCUUGGUGUUGGGCGUCUGUCCCGCUUCGCGCGCGGACUCGCCCCAAAGGUAUUGGCAGCGGUCGUGCCAGCUUCUCGCGCAGCACAUUGCGCUUCUCGAGGCGGUCGAUCGGCGUCCACGAAGCUCACCUCCACCGUUUGACCUCGGAUCAGGUAGGGAUACCCGCUGAACUUAAGCAUAUCAAUAAGCGGAGGA